AGUGAACGCUGGCGGUAGGCCUAACACAUGCAAGUCGAACGGCAGCACAGUAAGAUCUUGCUCUUACGGGUUGCGAGUGGCGGACGGGUGAGGAAUACAUCGGAAUCUACUUUUUCGUGGGGGAUAACGUAGGGAAACUUACGCUAAUACCGCAUACGACCUACGGGUGAAAGCAGGGGAUCUUCGGACCUUGCGCGAUUGAAUGAGCCGAUGUGGGAUUAGCUAGUUGGCGGGGUAAAGGCCCACCAUGGCGACGAUCCGUAGCUGGUCUGAGAGGAUGAUCAGCCACACUGGAACUGAGACACGGUCCAGACUCCUACGGGAGGGAGCAGUGGGGAAUAUUGGACAAUGGGCGCAAGCCUGAUCCAGCCAUACCGCGUGGGUGAAGAAGGCCUUCGGGUUGUAAAGCCCUUUUGUUGGGAAAGAAAAGCAGCAGGUUAAUACCCCGCUGUUCUGACGGUACCCAAAGAAUAAGCACCGGCUAACUUCGUG
This 492-nucleotide ribosomal RNA is filed under the name uncultured bacterium. RNAcentral describes it as "partial 16S ribosomal RNA". It matches the Rfam family "Bacterial small subunit ribosomal RNA", at positions 29 to 507 of the family's 1533-position model. The record is from RNAcentral.